AAUGAACGUUGGCAGCGUGGAUUAGGCAUGCAAGUCGAGCGACAAGGUCCUGGACGUGGAGGAGCGGCAAACGGGGUAGGUAAUACAUCGGAACGUACCCUCACGUCUGGGAUAGCCACGGGAAACUGUGGGUAAUACUGGAUAAUCUCACCGCUUGUGAAGAGUGGUGAGCAAAGGUCCGCCGCGUGAGGAGCGGCCGAUGCGAUACUAGAUAGUUGGUGGGGGUAAUGGCCUACCAAGUCUAAGAUGUCUAGGGGGUGUGAGAGCAUGGCCCCCACCACUGGGACUGAGACACUGCCCAGACACCUACGGGUGGCUGCAGUCGAGAAUCUUUGGCAAUGGGCGCAAGCCUGACCAAGCGACGCUGCGUGCGGGAUGAAGGCCC
RNAcentral lists this ribosomal RNA (385 nucleotides) under uncultured bacterium. Its description in RNAcentral is "bacterial SSU rRNA". It matches the Rfam family "Bacterial small subunit ribosomal RNA", at positions 29 to 417 of the family's 1533-position model. The record is from RNAcentral.